This is a long non-coding RNA of Pecten maximus, 2086 nucleotides long. RefSeq lists it as uncharacterized. The transcript has 3 exons. Lineage: Eukaryota; Metazoa; Mollusca; Bivalvia; Pectinida; Pectinidae. The record is from RefSeq and is a predicted model, not a curated record.
GGAAAUUCAAAUCUAUAUCUUCGGAUCACCAACACAUAGUGUAUAUGAUACAUUGUGCUUAUAAAUAUUAUUUAGAGAUGUUGAUAAAAUAUUGAUCAAUUGAAAGAAAAUAGACAAAAGAUAUGAAACAAAUUACUAAUUUGGAAUAGAUAAUUGAUAGUCCAUAUAAACAAUUCAUACCAACAUAGGCAUGUUUGAAAUAAAUUUGUUAAACUUACUCGGUCUAUGGCACAAAAGAUAUCAACAUUUUGUAAGAAAAUGGUACAAAUUAGUAAAGAGUCUUUCUGGUUCAAAUCCAAAAUAACGAAGUCAGAAAGGAAAGAAAGCUUAUAAUUAGGUGGGAACAGGAAGAAAAAAAUGGGCAGCCUAUGUCACAGAUCAAGUGGUCAGUCACAGUACAUAACAUACACGACACAUACAAUGUGAUUGGAAGAAAAUAGACAACAGAUAUGAAACAAUUAAAUCACUAAUUUGGAACAGGUAAUUGAUAAGCUAUAUAAACAAUUCAUAUCAACAUAGGCUUGUUUGAAAUAAAUUUCUUAAACUUACUCAGUCUAUGGCACGAAAGAUAUCAACACUUUGUAAGAAAAUGGUUCAAAUUAGUAAAGCGUGGGAAAGGUGGGAAGAAAUAAUUGGACAGCGCAUUUCACAGAUCAAGUGGUCACUCACUGUACACAACACCUAUAUAUAACAAAUUAACAAUACUUAUAGUAUACAAAUUCGGGACCUAUUACUAUAACGAUGCAUACAAAGGAAACAAAAGUAAAAUAGCAGGUACGGAAUACGCAGGUAAACGACAUACAAAUGAUAAAACACAUUAUACAUUAUACAAUUCCAGAUGCAUGCUUUAAUUUUGUUGGAUUUUUAAGGUUCAUGUAAAUAGAGUAAUAUUUUACCGGAGUGAAAUCAAUAUUUUGUUUCAAUUAAACUGAAGUAACUUUUCCAAUAGUUAAUGUGUAUCAUGGGUCUUGAUUUUGAAAUUUAAUUUGUUAACUACCUGUAUAUUUGGGUAGUAAUGUGUAACAAGCAAAGAAAGCUCAUGUGGAUCAGACACAUAGCGCAAAUAACCUGUCAUUAUUCUUACUAGUGUCUUAAGGUCUCACACAGCUAAUUAUUUCACUAUACGUUAUUAUACUAAUGACUCCAUCCCCUCAAUCGCUCAUUUGAAGUUCAAAUGUUUCGGAAUUUAUAUCAAAUUAAAGUUUGAAGAUUUGCCUACCUGAAAAAUGAUGUUAUUGGAUAGGUUUAACAGCAUAUAAGACCACACCUGUACUUGGAAGAAAGUAACCCUGAUAUUUACAGUGGACAGGGGAACCCCCAACUUGGGAAUUCCUGCCUUUUUACACCUGGAUUCCUACAUCUUUCUAUUUAUACCAGGAGUGUAUACAUAUGUAUUUUUGAUUUUUUAAAUCUCAAGACCCAACUGUUUAUUCUCGUAUAUUACCCAUUGCAGGUGUUAUUUAUUCAGGAAAUAGCUACAAACCAAAGAAACACAUUUCUUCACGGACUUGGUUCGGGUGAAACACCAGCUGAUUGGAUGAAGUAGUUUUGUGAUACCUGAAACAGGUGGUAGUUCGAGCGUUUGAUUGACCAGAUUUUACUCUAUAAAAUAUAAAUAUUGAUUCUCUUUUUACCCAUCUUCGCUAACCAAGGGUUACUUUACGUUAAGCUCCAUUUCAUGUAUGUGAUGAAAUGGAGCUCAGCAUAGAGUAACCCUUGGUUAGCGAAGAUGUUUUUUGACCAGAUUUUACUCUAUAGAAUAUAAAUGUUGAUACUUUUUUGACCAUGACAUGCGUUUGUUUGACAAGAUUUUACUCUAUAAAAUAUGAAUGUUGAUUCUCUUUUGACAUUGAAAUGCAAAUGGCGAUUGUAAAUUAUACGAAAAUUUAAUGACAUUCUGUACUGUAGUAGUUUAUAGCUAUCACAUACUGCUGUAUUGUAGUAGUUUAUAGCUAUCACAUACUGCUGUACUGUAGUAGUUUAUAGCUAUCACAUACUGCUGUACUGUAAUAUUUUAUAGCUAUCACAUACUGUUGUACUGUAGUAGUUUAUAGCUAUCACAUACUACUGUACUGUAGUAGUUUAU